Molecule: ribosomal RNA, 494 nt
Filed under: uncultured bacterium
Lineage: Bacteria
Description: partial 16S ribosomal RNA
Rfam family: Bacterial small subunit ribosomal RNA
Source: RNAcentral
GACGAACGCUGGCGGCGUGCUUAACACAUGCAAGUCGAACGGUGAAGCGCCUUCCUUUUUGGUGGGUGUGGAUGAGUGGCGAACGGGUGAGUAACACGUGAGUAACCUGCCCCCUUCUUCUGGAUAACCGCAUGAAAGUGUGGCUAAUACGGGAUAUUCUGGGUCUGUCGCAUGAUGGGUCUGGGAAAGAUAUUGUUUCGGUGGGGGAUGGGCUCGCGGCCUAUCAGCUUGUUGGUGGGGUGAUGGCCUACCAAGGCGGUGACGGGUAGCCGGCCUGAGAGGGUGGACGGUCACACUGGGGCUGAGACACGGCCCAGACUCCUACGGGAGGCAGCAGUGGGGAAUAUUGGACAAUGGGCGCAAGCCUGAUGCAGCGACGCCGCGUGAGGGAUGGAGGCCUUCGGGUUGUGAACCUCUUUCGCCAGUGAAGCAGGCCUGCCUCGUUUGUGGGUGGGUUGACGGUAGCUGGAUAAGAAGCGCCGGCUAACUACGUG